RNAcentral lists this ribosomal RNA (261 nucleotides) under uncultured bacterium. RNAcentral describes it as "partial 16S ribosomal RNA". It matches the Rfam family "Bacterial small subunit ribosomal RNA", at positions 524 to 777 of the family's 1533-position model. The record is from RNAcentral.
UACGAAGGGGGGCGAGCGUUGUUCGGAUUUACUGGGCGUAAAGGGCGCGUAGGCGGCCCGUUUUGUCAGGCGUGAAAGCCCUGGGCUCAACCUGGGAAUGGCGCUUGGGGACGGAUGGGGCUAGAGAUCGGGGAGAGGAGAGUGGAAUUCCCAGUGUAGAGGUGAAAUUCGUAGAUAUUGGGAAGAACACCGGUGGCGAAGGCGGCUCUCUGGACCGAUACUGACGCUGAGGCGCGAAAAGCGUGGGGGAGCAAAACAGGG